Molecule: long non-coding RNA, 3202 nt
Filed under: Salvia miltiorrhiza (redroot sage)
Lineage: Eukaryota; Viridiplantae; Streptophyta; Magnoliopsida; Lamiales; Lamiaceae
Description: long non-coding RNA (SMIL_LNC004898)
Source: RNAcentral
UUAUAUGUAACUAAGAACGAGAUUCGCCCACUCAACACGAACUUCAUCAAUAUCCUCUUUAGUAUACGAUUGUCAAACUAUAUAAAAGAUAAACUAUUGUUUAAUAUGAAAUAUCUAUAAUGGAGAUUUAAGUCAAAUUACAUACAUGUGGAUGUAGGCAAAUGCGACCAUUCCUCAUAAGCUCUUCAAUAAUUUCUUUCAUGUAAUGCAUCACGAAAAAUCCACAUUGCACGGAAUCAGGUUGUCUUGGAGACUACAUAAAAGUUAUAAGGAUUAGUAGGUAAAAGAUUAUAAUUAAAUACAAUAAUUUUAUUUCUCAUUACCUUUAUAAUAUCCCAAGUAGGUUGUUUUUUACCUCUUUUUCCCAAUUUGGCAUUGAAUAUAAAAAUAGCCCUUUAAACAAAAAACAAANCACUUUUAUAAAUUGAAGUUGUCCCAUGGAGCCACAUAAUUCUUUAUUUUCUGAGAGAAAUUUAUUUAUGGUAAAAAAAAUAAUAGUCGUACAAUCUAUAAAUUUUUGCUACAAAUUUAUAUCUCUAUCAAUCGGCAUAAAUCUAACCCAAAUUAUUGGUGAAAAACUACUGACGGAAAGAGCAGAAAAACAUAUGAAUAAUUAAACUAUUGGGAUCGAAUGACAUUCUUAUUAAUUGUAUUGUUCCCUCAAAAGAAAGAAAUCCCUCAAAAAAUAAUUAAUUAUCUUGUACUCCCUCCGUCCCGCACAAAGUGGUGCGUUUCUUUUGGGUACGGAGUUGUAGAUUAGUGUUUUAAGUGUGUAGGAGAGAUGAGGUAAUAAAGUGAUAAAAUAGGAGAGAGAAUGUGAUAAAGUAGGAGAUGGAAGGUAAUAAAGUGAUAAAGUAGGAGAGAGAAUGUAAUAAGGGAGUUAUUAAGGAAAAAUAAGGGGUAUCUAAUUUUUGCCAAAAAAGAAAAUGCACCACUUUCAGUGGGACAGCACGUCAAGUGAUUCAGCUUGAAAAAUAUAAAUUAUUAGUAUAUACAACUUAUAUUUAUCCACUAAAAUUAAUAAUAGUUGUAUUAAAUCUCUAAUUAAUUUUAUUUGUUAUAAAAAAUAAUUAAUAUAUUUAUUAUUUUAAAUAAAAUAAUCAAUAUUUUGCAUAUAAAUAUAAAUUUAGAAAGUUCGUAUAGGUUCGAUUAGGUUCGUGAGCCGCUCGCAAGCCUCAAAGUAUUCGGUAAGUAAAGUUUGGGAUUCGAUUCGAUACUAAACAAACCAAACUUGAGUACACCACUAUUCGGUUCGGCUCGAUUCGAUUACACCCUACACAUAUACAUACUUUUAGCUUUCCUAUUUUUUCAUAUGUUGUUUGACAACUUCCUGCGAAUUAAUUAAUUGGAGGGACAUGAACACCCCAAUUACGUCGUUUAAUCCCGAUCAUUUAAAUCAUGUAUAAAUUUCAAACAUCCAACAGAUUUUACAUUUGUGUGAAAAAAAAAACAAUUAAAAAUUAUAUAUUUGAAGUUAAAUGUUUAGUUAAUAAGCACAAUCUUUUGCGUAUAUAAACGUAAUUACCCAAAAAUCAGGCUUAACUUUUUUCAAUUCAUUGGAUUUGUAAUGGCUCGAACUCACGAAGCUAGUAGUAGUUGUUUGAAGUCAUUCCAAAUCCAAUGAAUUGAUACUAGUAUGUGAUCUGUCGAAAUUUAACGGGUCUAUUAAAAUAUAAAUUUAUAAAAUUAUUAAUGCAUUUUUUUGUUUCAUGAAUUAUUUUUUCAUAAAGAUAGAAAAUUUAAUAAAAUUAUUUUAAAGUAAAAAAGUUAUAAUAUUUAUUUGAAAUUGACCUAAUUUUUAUAAAAUUUAUAUGUAAGCAGAGUUUCAAUCCAAAAAAUAUUAAAUGAGAAAUUGGAACAAUUAUUNAUUUAACAAUCGUAGUACUAGAUGGUGUAGUCUAUUCCCAUCAAUAUAGACUACGUUGAUUAAAUCGUAGUCUAUUCCCAUCAAUAUAGUACACGUUGAUUAAACCGUAGUCUAUAGUUACUUGAGAUUACACUUUUAGACGCACAUACACUACGUGAAUCAGAUGUAAUCUAUAUGCAAUCAUAUACGACACGUGGAAACCGUAGUUAAUUAUGUUCAGCAAUGUAGUGUAUUGGAUGAAUAGACUACGGUUUGUCAACUAGAAAUGGUAGUCUAUAGUCUUUAUAGACUACAACAAUGGAUAUUUAUGACUACGGUUUUCUAUUUAGAUUGAUAGUCUUUGCGGUAUUUAUACUACGAUAUAUUGAUCAAUUACCACACUAAAACACCGUAGUAAAUUAGUUGCAAAGACUACAGUGGUCAUUAUGUAGUCUACUAUUCAAUUUAACAUGUAGUUAAAUUUAUUAUUUAUUAAAAAUUAACAAAAAAUGAAAAACAAAUAUUGAUGCACCAAAAAAUUAUAAUUGUCAUAUAUACUUUCACAAUAUUUCAUAAUCUGAUAAAUGUACACUGAAAUGAAGCUAAUAUACGACAUGAGAUUAAAUAUAUCAAAAUAAAGAAAGUACAAUAUUUUUUUUCAAAAACAAGAAUCUUCGUGGAAAAUUCAGCAAAAGUCUCUUAUAUUUUAGCUUCGUUCCCAGCAUAUCCUGGCACAAAAUUAAAACAAGAUCUGUCAUGAAAACAAAUAAACCAAUCAUGUCAACAAAGUAUUUCUUACACUUCAAACAAAAUUCCAACUAAUUGCACAACAUAUAUUACUUUAAAAGUAUAUUUCUUUCAUUAAAAUCAAUAGACCAAAUAAAAGUAUAGUAUACAUAUAUAUAUAUAACACAAAUUCAUAUUAGUACACCAAAGUUGCAGAAUAUUACCUCUACUUUUUAUAUGUAACUAAGAAUGAGAUUCGCCCACUCAACACGAACUUCAUCAAUAUCCUCUUUAGUAUAACUCCGAUUGUCAAACUAUAUAAAAGAUAAACUAUUGUUUAAUAUGAAAUAUGUAUAAUGGAGAUUUAAGUCAAAUUACUUACAUGUGGAUGUAGGCAAAUGCGACCAUUCCUCAUAAGCUCUUCAAUAAUUUCUUUCAUGUAACGCAUCACGAAAAAUCCACAUUGCACGGAAUCAGGUUGUCUUGGAGACUACAUAAAAGUGAUAAGGAUUAGUAGGUAAAAGAUUAUAAUUAAAUACAAUAAUUUUAUUUCUCAUUACCUUUAUAAUAUCCCAAGUAGGUUGUCUUUUACCUCUUUUUCCCAAUUUGGCAUUGAAUAUAAAAAUAGCC